AUCCAGCUGAUGAGUCCCAAAUAGAACGAAACGCACGUCUUGGAU
Non-coding RNA from Schistosoma haematobium, 45 nucleotides. The record is from Rfam. Lineage: Eukaryota; Metazoa; Platyhelminthes; Trematoda; Strigeidida; Schistosomatidae.